Non-coding RNA from Nematostella vectensis (starlet sea anemone), 86 nucleotides. NCBI's taxonomy places the organism in Eukaryota, Metazoa, Cnidaria, Anthozoa, Actiniaria, Edwardsiidae. The record is from Rfam.
GCCUCGUUAGCGCAGUAGGCAGCGCGUCAGUCUCAUAAUCAAAUCUAGAAAUCUGAAGGUCGUGAGUUCGAUCCUCACAUGGGGCA